UCUCCGUUGGUGAACCAGCGGAGGGAUCAUUACCGAGUGCAAACUCAUAACCCUUUGUGAACCUAUAUCUGUUGCUUCGGCGGCUCGCUCUCGGGCGAGCCCGCCGGUAAUAUCAGUAUCUCUGUUUGAACCCGACGAUACUUCUGAGUGUUCAUAGCGAACAGUUAAAACUUUUAACAACGGAUCUCUUGGCUCUA
This 197-nucleotide unclassified non-coding RNA is filed under the name plant metagenome. Its description in RNAcentral is "partial contains small subunit ribosomal RNA, internal transcribed spacer 1, and 5.8S ribosomal RNA". The record is from RNAcentral.